UAUUAAAAAUUUCAUCCAUUUCUACCGUUAAAAACUGGUGUGGUUAACGGAAUAACCAGACAAUAACAUGUGGCGUGCCACGUGUAUCUCAUCCUAGUGUACAUGGACAAGUUUUUAACAGUAGAAAUGGAUGAAAUUUUUAAUA
Non-coding RNA from Gossypium arboreum, 145 nucleotides. Lineage: Eukaryota; Viridiplantae; Streptophyta; Magnoliopsida; Malvales; Malvaceae. The record is from Rfam.